CCUACGGGUGGCAGCAGUGGGGGAUAUUGCACAAUGGGGGGAACCCUGAUGCAGCGACGCCGCGUGGGUGAAGAAGCGCCUCGGCGCGUAAAGCCCUGUCAGCAGGGAAGAAAAUGACGGUACCUGAAGAAGAAGCCCCGGCGAACUACGGGCCAGCAGCCGCGGUAAUACGUAGGGGGCAAGCGUGAUCCGGAUUUACUGGGUGUUAAGGGGGCGCAGACGGCGAUGCAAGCCAGGAGUGAAAGCCCGGGGGCCAACCCCGGGACUGCUCUUGGAACUGGGUGACUGGAGUGCAGGAGGGGCAGGCGGAAGUCGUGGUGUAGCGGUGAAAUGCGUAGAUAUCAGGAGGAACACCGGUGGCGAAGGCGGCCUGCUGGACUGCAACUGACGUUGAGGCCCGAAAGCGUGGGGAGCAAACAGGAUUAGAUACCCCUGUAGUC
This 440-nucleotide ribosomal RNA is filed under the name uncultured bacterium. RNAcentral describes it as "partial 16S ribosomal RNA". It matches the Rfam family "Bacterial small subunit ribosomal RNA", at positions 338 to 795 of the family's 1533-position model. The record is from RNAcentral.